This 468-nucleotide ribosomal RNA is filed under the name uncultured bacterium. RNAcentral's name for it is "partial 16S ribosomal RNA". It matches the Rfam family "Bacterial small subunit ribosomal RNA", at positions 28 to 507 of the family's 1533-position model. The record is from RNAcentral.
GACGAACGCUGGCGGCGUGCUUAACACAUGCAAGUCGAACGGAAAGGCCCUGCUUUUGUGGGGUGCUCGAGUGGCGAACGGGUGAGUAACACGUGAGUAACCUGCCCUUGACUUUGGGAUAACUUCAGGAAACUGGGGCUAAUACCGGAUAGGAGCUCCUGCUGCAUGGUGGGGGUUGGAAAGUUUCGGUGGUUGGGGAUGUACUCGCGGCUUAUCAGCUUGUUGGUGGGGUAGUGGCUUACCAAGGCUUUGACGGGUAGCCGGCCUGAGAGGGUGACCGGCCACAUUGGGACUGAGAUACGGCCCAGACUCCUACGGGGGGCAGCAGUGGGGAAUAUUGCACAAUGGGCGGAAGCCUGAUGCAGCAACGCCGCGUGCGGGAUGACGGCCUUCGGGUUGUAAACCGCUUUCGCCUGUGACGAAGCGUGAGUGACGGUAAUGGGUAAAGAAGCACCGGCUAACUACGUG